This 496-nucleotide ribosomal RNA is filed under the name uncultured bacterium. RNAcentral describes it as "partial 16S ribosomal RNA". It matches the Rfam family "Bacterial small subunit ribosomal RNA", at positions 28 to 506 of the family's 1533-position model. The record is from RNAcentral.
GAUGAACGCUGGCGGCGUGCCUAAUACAUGCAAGUCGAGCGAACAGACGAGGAGCUUGCUCCUCUGACGUUAGCGGCGGACGGGUGAGUAACACGUGGAUAACCUACCUAUAAGACUGGGAUAACUUCGGGAAACCGGAGCUAAUACCGGAUAAUAUAUUGAACCGCAUGGUUCAAUAGUGAAAGACGGUUUUGCUGUCACUUAUAGAUGGAUCCGCGCCGCAUUAGCUAGUUGGUAAGGUAACGGCUUACCAAGGCAACGAUGCGUAGCCGACCUGAGAGGGGGACCGGCCACCCUGGACCUGACAACGGCUCCAACCCCCUACGGAAGCGACAAGGGGGGAAUUUUGCGCAAUGGCGGAAAGCCUGACGGGCCAACCCCGGGGGAGGGAGGAAGUUUUUCGGCUCUAAAAACCUUUUUAUGGGGGAAAAACAAAUUGGAAAGUCAAAAUGCCCGUUUUGAGGGUACCUAACCAGAAGCCCCCGGCUACCUCCGU